UGGGUCAAUCUUCGGAUUGGCCCUUUCU
Molecule: unclassified non-coding RNA, 28 nt
Filed under: Legionella pneumophila
Lineage: Bacteria; Pseudomonadati; Pseudomonadota; Gammaproteobacteria; Legionellales; Legionellaceae
Description: Modified SL3 of RocR from Legionella pneumophila (PDB 7RGU, chain B)
Source: RNAcentral